GACGAACGCUGGCGGCGUGCUUAACACAUGCAAGUCGAACGAAGUCGCGAACGGGUGAGUAACGCGUAAUCAACCUGCCCUUCAGAGGGGGACAACAGUUGGAAACGACUGCUAAUACCGCAUACUGAAGCAGGGGAGUGCGUCUGAUUAGCUCGUGGGAGGGGUAACGGCCCACCAAGGCGAAGAUGAGUAGCCUGUCUGAGAGGGUGAACGGCCACAUUGGGACUGAGACACGGCCCAGACUCCUACGGGAGGCAGCAGGGGGGAAUCUUCCGAAAUGGACGAAAGUCUGACGGAGCAACGCCGCGGGAGUGAUGACGGCCUUCGGGUUGUAAAGCUCUGUUAAUCGGGACGCGGUACCGGAAUAGAAAGCCACGGCUAACUACGUGCCAGCAGCCGCGGUAAUAC
Molecule: ribosomal RNA, 408 nt
Filed under: uncultured bacterium
Lineage: Bacteria
Description: partial 16S ribosomal RNA
Rfam family: Bacterial small subunit ribosomal RNA
Source: RNAcentral